RNAcentral lists this unclassified non-coding RNA (250 nucleotides) under Hevea brasiliensis (rubber tree). Lineage: Eukaryota; Viridiplantae; Streptophyta; Magnoliopsida; Malpighiales; Euphorbiaceae. The record is from RNAcentral.
AAAAAAAAAUUUGUUCGAUUCAUAACCACAAAGGAAGGAGAGCAUGAACCUUACCGAUGAGGAAGAAGGCAAAGUGAAGACGUUUUCUUUUUUGGUGUGGAUAUGAUAAAUGUAGUUGUGCUUGUUUCUUUUCUUCGUUGAUUGUAUAUCUUUUUAAUGAUGAAUUAAUGUACAAUUAUCUCUGCUACUAUCAAUCAGCUUCGUGCGAUCUUUGUCAAUGGUAGUAGCGCUGGUGGGCCAACGACAGCAA